RNAcentral lists this unclassified non-coding RNA (1249 nucleotides) under Hevea brasiliensis (rubber tree). Lineage: Eukaryota; Viridiplantae; Streptophyta; Magnoliopsida; Malpighiales; Euphorbiaceae. The record is from RNAcentral.
GAUAUAUUACUUCAUAUUAAGAAUUUUCAAAUUAAGCAGUUAACAACAAAAACUUCUCAAAACCAAAUGGAGAAAAGCUAAUACCUACCAAGCAAAACAAAAUCAUCAUCAUCCAAAACUUGGACAUCUCUUUCCCCUAUAAAGUUUUCCCGUCCGAUUUCUUUGACAAUCUUCACAAACGCCUCUCUCUUUGCCCUUGUAAGUGGAACAUAUGGAAGGCGGAAGACAGGCCUCACAACUCCGAGUUGAGCUAAAGCUGUAUUUAGAGCAAUGGGGUUUGGUUCAUGAAACAACCAUUCAACUAAUGGCAUUAGCUUUAAGUUCAGAGCAGGGUUCUUUCCUCCAAACAUUAGUUCAUGCAUCAGACCAGGAACCAAGUUGCUGGUGACAGAAAUAACUCCUGCAGCGCCAUGAUCCCACCUUGAGUCAUGGCAUUCAUCAUCAUUCCCACUCCACACGACCAAACCAUUACUUGUAUACUGCUUCACUCUAUCAUUUCCAACACACUCUUUGACACCGGCAAGAUUGGGGCUCUCUGCUAAUGUCUGAAUUACACGUGGAGGAAUGUCUUGACCAGUUCGUGAUGGUACGUUAUAAAUGAUAGUAGGGCCCAUAGGGAGCACACUUUCAAAGUGAGAAAUCAUACCCUCUAUGGAGGUCUUCCCAUAGUAGGGAUUAAUGUGAAGAGCUGCAUGCAUACCAACAGCAAAUCCUUGUUCUGUCGCAUGGAUUGCUUCCCUCGUGGAGUUACUUCCUGUGUUCCCAAUGACUUUGAUUGAUCCUCCAAAACAGUUCACUGUGUGACCAAUGAGCAUGAUGUGUUCAUCCCAGCUCAUCAAUUGACCUUCACCUGUAGUGCCACCAACAAUCACACCCUCAGCACCAUUUUCAAUUUGCAAAUUUACCAAGGCAUCAUAUGCCUCAAGAUCGAAUCUUCCAUCUGGUAGAUAUGGGGUUUUGAUUGCAGUAAUCAAUCGAAGUGCUUUUAUAUCCUCGGCAAACGUCCUAUUUUUAACUUCAUAACUACGCAUUGGGAGGUGGAAACUUGGAAUUACAGCUGCUCUCGGUGACCUCCAUACUGCAGUUCUCCUCUUUGAUCCGGCAGCUUCAACGCCGAAAUGACAACGACCUAUAACUGAUGAUGACAUUUUUCCCACUAUUAGGGUUCGUACAGCUCAGAGAAAUUCGCAGAACAAAACUCAACAGUUGUAAUCCUAUCCUUCUGGGCUUGAAAUCAGCUAAGGUUAAA